RNAcentral lists this unclassified non-coding RNA (598 nucleotides) under Fusarium oxysporum. RNAcentral's name for it is "partial miscellaneous RNA". The record is from RNAcentral. Lineage: Eukaryota; Fungi; Ascomycota; Sordariomycetes; Hypocreales; Nectriaceae.
AUUUCCCCAAUGGGUUCUCCGGAUUUCUGGAGACUUGUAGGGGUUGUGGGAUUUUUGAUGUGUCGUCUCCGGACGGGCGGUGCAGGGUAGUCGAGUUAGACUUGGUGGAAUUCCGUCGAUAGGAGUUCCGUCGAGUCUGGUCGGCUGUGUGUUGGACGGUGCAGGGUAGGCUGCUUGGAGAUGGUCGGUUCGAGGAUCGAUUCGAGGGCCGGCCUGUCGAUGGUGUGUGAUGUAUGCGGUCUAGGGUAGGCUGGUUUGUCUUGGUUCAAUUUGAUGUCGGCUCCCGUGCAGGCCAGAGUGAGGGGGGUCCAGGGUAGGUACAGGGUAGGCAGCUUAGAUUUGGUUGAUCUGGAGGUCGAUUCUCCGGCUGGCGGAUCUGACACUGUCGAAACGAGAUGCGAGCGGUGUAGGGUAGGCUAGUUUCGUCCUCGCCAGGUUGCGAUUUGGACGAGAUGUGUGGUUUAGGGUAGGCUCUAGGGUAAGUAGAAUUCGAGUUUCGUCGCCGACAGUUUUCUGUGGGUGUAUGGUAGGUACAGGGUAGGCAAAUCUCUCUCCGGCCAGUACUUGUCUGGUGGUCGUGAGUCGAUUUUUUUGUUUU